GCACUCUUGUUUCUCUUCAAAGCGUAUAAAUCUUUCGCCUUUUACUAAAGAUUUCCGUGGAGAGGAACAUAAAGAGUAAAUCAAAAUUUUUUAAUUCCCUGUCUUUUGGCGGGGU
Gambusia affinis (western mosquitofish) is the source of this 115-nucleotide small nuclear RNA. RefSeq annotates it as U5 spliceosomal RNA. The transcript has a single exon. The record is from RefSeq and is a predicted model, not a curated record. Lineage: Eukaryota; Metazoa; Chordata; Actinopteri; Cyprinodontiformes; Poeciliidae.